UGUGAGGUUACUGGCCAGUGUGAGA
Molecule: non-coding RNA, 25 nt
Filed under: Mus musculus (house mouse)
Lineage: Eukaryota; Metazoa; Chordata; Mammalia; Rodentia; Muridae
Source: RNAcentral